Long non-coding RNA from Xiphophorus hellerii (green swordtail), 491 nucleotides. RefSeq lists it as uncharacterized. Lineage: Eukaryota; Metazoa; Chordata; Actinopteri; Cyprinodontiformes; Poeciliidae. The transcript has 3 exons. The record is from RefSeq and is a predicted model, not a curated record.
GUUACGGCUCUGACAGCUUCAUCCUGAGGCAUUGAUCGGAUAAACUGCACCCUCUAGUGGAAACAACGCUUCUGUUUUUGUUUGUGUUAAUAGGAAGUUCCUGGGUUUUUUUUGUUUUUGUUUUUUUUUUUUAAAUCAAAUGACAUUUAUUAUUGAUGCAUUGUUUCUUUUUUAUAAGCAAAUUAUCUGUUUUUUCUUUCAGUCUAAAGAAACUUUACAAUAUAAAGAAACAUACAAAGAACAUCUUUAUUACCUACACAAGACACAUACAUCACAUGACCAGCUGAGCGCUCCAGCUGCAGAGGACUGGUCAGCCCUAAAGCAUCGCUGAGAUGUUCAGAAGUUCUGCAUUGAUCCCAAAGUCAUCAAUAAAUGAAAGUUUGUGUUUCAGUGGUUCUGGAGUCUCCUGGGCCCUCGGACCGGUCCAGACCCGGGUCCACCAGAGCCAAGGAGCUGGUUCUGGACUGAACCGGACCUGGACCAACAGUAAA